This 253-nucleotide ribosomal RNA is filed under the name uncultured bacterium. RNAcentral describes it as "partial 16S ribosomal RNA". It matches the Rfam family "Bacterial small subunit ribosomal RNA", at positions 524 to 776 of the family's 1533-position model. The record is from RNAcentral.
UACGGAGGGUGCAAGCGUUAGUCGGAAUUACUGGGCGUAAAGGGUGCGUAGGCGGAAAUAUAAGUCAGAUGUGAAAUACUGAAGCUCAACUUCAGCUGUGCAUCUGAAACUGUAUUUCUAGAGGAAUAGCGGAGAAAACGGAAUUCCAUGUGUAGCGGUGAAAUGCGUAGAUAUAUGGAAGAACACCAGUGGCGAAGGCGGUUUUCUAGCUUUCUCCUGACGCUGAGGCACGAAAGCAAGGGGAGCAAACAGG